RNAcentral lists this ribosomal RNA (210 nucleotides) under uncultured bacterium. RNAcentral's name for it is "partial 16S ribosomal RNA". It matches the Rfam family "Bacterial small subunit ribosomal RNA", at positions 568 to 774 of the family's 1533-position model. The record is from RNAcentral.
UGCGUAGGUGGCGCCGUAAGUGGGGUGUGAAAUCUCGGGGCUUAACUCCGAAACUGCAUUCCAUACUGCGGUGCUUGAGGACUGGAGAGGAGACUGGAAUUCAUGGUGUAGCAGUGAAAUGCGUAGAGAUCAUGAGGAAGACCAGUGGCGAAGGCGGGUCUCUGGACAGUUCCUGACACUGAGGCACAAGGGGCCAGGGGAAGGCAAACG